ACCUCACCGUCUUGUGAGAGUUUCAGAUUCUCAUUAGAUGACGAGGAUACCUAAGCCUUGGAAGAUGAAGAGAACCUGAAGAAAGACUCAAUGACCUUCAUUAAUAAUGUUGUCAAAGUAGCGGCAGUUGAGCCUAUGGUUGAGAACUCCAUUAAGCAAGAGGCAUGUGGUGAGCAAACUUUAUUAGAGUGUAUUGCCCCGAAUGAAAAAGAAGCUUUCGAAGCAAUCGGCCCCAGAGCCUCCAUUAUCCAUUUGCUUCCCAAUGGUGAGUAACCCAAUCCUCUAAUAGAAGAAGAGCCCUCAAGCAUGGUGAUCAAUGAAGCACCAGAAUGUUAUGGAGACAAGAUUGGGAAGCUUAAGGCUAUAUUGAGGCAGUUACAAGCUGAGAUGAGAUCAAAAGAUGAAAUGAUGGAAACUUUACGCCAAGAGGUAUUGGUGUCUCAUAAGCCUAAGCGUACCCCCUUGGGGCAUCAAACCCUCUUUACCGUCGCUCAAGCACUGUAUCCGGUCAUCGAACAACACCAUCAGAAGAAAGAGUACUACCACCCUCACCUCCCUCAUUGCCGCUCUCCUCCCCAUCAGCUCAGGUUGGGAACGAAGAAUUAGUGAAAGG
RNAcentral lists this long non-coding RNA (613 nucleotides) under Amborella trichopoda. RNAcentral describes it as "long non-coding RNA (ATRI_LNC002127)". Lineage: Eukaryota; Viridiplantae; Streptophyta; Magnoliopsida; Amborellales; Amborellaceae. The record is from RNAcentral.